GACGAACGCUUGCGGCGUGCUUAACACAUGCAAGUCGAACGGUAAGGCCCCAGCUUGCUGGGGUACACGAGUGGCGAACGGGUGAGUAACACGUGGGUGACCUGCCCCGCACUUCGGGAUAAGCCUGGGAAACUGGGUCUAAUACCGGAUAGGACCGCACCGUGAGGGUGUGGUGGAAAGUUUUUCGGUGUGGGAUGGGCCCGCGGCCUAUCAGCUUGUUGGUGGGGUAAUGGCCUACCAAGGCGGCGACGGGUAGCCGGCCUGAGAGGGUGGACGGCCACAUUGGGACUGAGACACGGCCCAGACUCCUACGGGAGGCAGCAGUGGGGAAUAUUGCACAAUGGGCGGAAGCCUGAUGCAGCGACGCCGCGUGGGGGAUGACGGCCUUCGGGUUGUAAACUCCUUUCACCAUCGACGAAGGUUUUCUGACGGUAGAUGGAGAAGAAGCACCGGCUAACUACGUG
This 464-nucleotide ribosomal RNA is filed under the name uncultured bacterium. RNAcentral's name for it is "partial 16S ribosomal RNA". It matches the Rfam family "Bacterial small subunit ribosomal RNA", at positions 28 to 507 of the family's 1533-position model. The record is from RNAcentral.